RNAcentral lists this long non-coding RNA (545 nucleotides) under Pongo abelii (Sumatran orangutan). RNAcentral describes it as "lincRNA". The record is from RNAcentral. Lineage: Eukaryota; Metazoa; Chordata; Mammalia; Primates; Hominidae.
GGCGGGGUGUUUGCAGUAGCCCAUGUGAACUAUGUUUCUGUCGUUACCACUGCUGGACCCGCCUUCCUCUUUUCAUAGAAGAGGCGCCGAUGCGUGGCCGCAAACUGAUUUCCAAGUCCGUUGUCUAAUGCUGCGAGACAGUAUCCGUUUGUUACAGCGAAUUGGGGACCGAUGACGCUGGAGGUGGAAGAAGCCACGGUUCUGUUUCUUAAUGGCGAAUUAGCCUGCGGACUUCCUGUCACUCCCUUGCCUUUCAGCGUCCCAACUUAGCAACACUCCGCGUUUUGGGUGUUCUGAGCAGGCUUUGUCUACCCUGAAACGCUUCGUGUCGACAUUCCACCAGGUCUGUUCCACGGUCCAAACUUCUCUACCUUUUUUGACUCUCUAGAAUUGUGUUACGAUUAGUAGUAUAUUGUGUCAAGAGUCCGGGAUCUUUGAUGUUAGUUAUAUUCCCUGGCUGUUUAUGCCAAAGGGAAAUCCAAAUAGUAAUUUAUUACGUACAUUACGUAUAAUUCAGAAUAAAAUUAUGUAAGAACAGUUGCCAG